Molecule: ribosomal RNA, 358 nt
Filed under: uncultured bacterium
Lineage: Bacteria
Description: bacterial SSU rRNA
Rfam family: Bacterial small subunit ribosomal RNA
Source: RNAcentral
GAUGAACGCUGGCGGUAUGCUUAACACAUGCAAGUCGAACGGUACCUUCGGGUACUUAGUGGCGGACGGGUGAGUAACGCGUGAGGAUCUGCCUUCAGGAUGGGGACAACAGUUGGAAACGGCUGCUAAUACCCGAUAUGCCUACGGGUGAAAGGAUUAAUUGCCUGAAGAUGAGCUCGCGUCCGAUUAGCUAGUUGGUGGGGUAAAGACCUACCAAGGCGACGAUCCUUAGCUGGUCUGAGAGGAUGAUCAGCCACACUGGGACUGAGACACGGCCCAGACUCCUACGGGAGGCAGCAGUGGGGAAUAUUGGACAAUGGGCGAAAGCCUGAUCCAGCAAUGCCGCGUGAGUGAAGAA